Molecule: long non-coding RNA, 449 nt
Organism: Anopheles stephensi (Asian malaria mosquito)
Lineage: Eukaryota; Metazoa; Arthropoda; Insecta; Diptera; Culicidae
Exons: 2
Source: RefSeq, a predicted model, not a curated record
CACCUGGCAUAUGAUGUUGGUCAUUGUCAUUCGUACAAGCCUUGGUAAGCUUGGCCGGGAUUCCAAAAGAGCUCAUUGCGUCGUACAGUUUUACCCUGGCUAAUGCUGUCAUAUGCGGCUUUAAAGUCAAUGAAGUCGUUUAAAAUCGUGAAGAUCUAAAAUAAACGAUAACUCGCGUGAGAAAGGAGGUCCAUUAACGCUUUCUUUUAUUUUUUCCAACAGGUGGUUCGUACAGAGAAGCUUCUUGCUAGGCGGGCGAUCCAUUUUCAUAAUAUUGUGAAAUCUUCCAUCAUGACCACCAAGUCAUCGUAUACUUCUGUUUUUAGGUUGGGAGCGCCAUUUCACCGGGAAAGGUAGUAUUUUUGCAGGUAUUACUAUUGAGUGAAUAUAUCACAAUGCUAUUCAAAUGAUAAAUGCUUACGUUUCAAUAAAGUUGAUUUGUUAAAAUA